CUCUUGAGUGGAUCCUGAGUACGACGGAGCACGUGAAAUUCCGUCGGAAUCUGGGAGGACCAUCUCCUAAGGCUAAAUACUCUCUAGUGACCGAUAGUGAACCAGUACCGUGAGGGAAAGGUGAAAAGUACCCCGGAAGGGGAGUGAAAGAGAACUUGAAACCGUGUGCUUACAAGUAGUCAGAGCCCGUUAAUGGGUGAUGGCGUGCCUUUUGUAGAAUGAACCGGCGAGUUACGAUCUGAUGCAAGGUUAAGCAGAAAAUGUGGAGCCGUAGCGAAAGCGAGUCUGAAUAGGGCGUUGAGUAUUUGGUCGUAGACCCGAAACCAGGUGAUCUACCCAUGGUCAGGUUGAAGUUCAGGUAACACUGAAUGGAGGACCGAACCGACUUACGUUGAAAAGUGAGCGGAUGAACUGUGGGUAGCGGAGAAAUUCCAAUCGAACUUGGAGAUAGCUGGUUCUCUCCGAAAUAGCUUUAGGGCUAGCCUCAAGUGAUGAUUAUUGGAGGUAGAGCACUGUUUGGACGAGGGGCCCUUCUCGGGUUACCGAAUUCAGACAAACUCCGAAUGCCAAUUAAUUUAACUUGGGAGUCAGAACAUGGGUGAUAAGGUCCGUGUCCGAAAGGGAAACAGCCCAGACCACCAGCUAAGGUCCCAAAAUAUAUGUUAAGUGGAAAAGGAUGUGGCGUUGCCCAGACAACUAGGAUGUUGGCUUAGAAGCAGCCAUCAUUUAAAGAGUGCGUAAUAGCUCACUAGUCGAGUGACACUGCGCCGAAAAUGUACCGGGGCUAAACAUAUUACCGAAGCUGUGGAUUGUCCGUAGGACAAUGGUAGGAGAGCGUUCUAAGGGCGUCGAAGCAUGAUCGCAAGGACAUGUGGAGCGCUUAGAAGUGAGAAUGCCGGUGUGAGUAGCGAAAGACGGGUGAGAAUCCCGUCCACCGAUUGACUAAGGUUUCCAGAGGAAGGCUCGUCCGCUCUGGGUUAGUCGGGUCCUAAGCUGAGGCCGACAGGCGUAGGCGAUGGAUAACAGGUUGAUAUUCCUGUACCACCUAGCAUCGUUUUAAUCGAUGGGGGG
RNAcentral lists this ribosomal RNA (1071 nucleotides) under Staphylococcus devriesei. Its description in RNAcentral is "bacterial LSU rRNA". It matches the Rfam family "Bacterial large subunit ribosomal RNA", at positions 394 to 1471 of the family's 2925-position model. The record is from RNAcentral. Lineage: Bacteria; Bacillati; Bacillota; Bacilli; Caryophanales; Staphylococcaceae.